This 49-nucleotide transfer RNA is filed under the name Argiope ocula. RNAcentral describes it as "partial tRNA-Met". Lineage: Eukaryota; Metazoa; Arthropoda; Arachnida; Araneae; Araneidae. The record is from RNAcentral.
AAUAAAGUCAGCUAAAAAAGCUAAUGGGUUCAUACCUCAUAAAUGAGAU